AUGUUCCAUAUCGGUACCUUGGGGGAAUAUCGCUAUAUAAUUGCUACAUACUGUACUUACAAAAUUAUACUUUUCUUUUGUCUUAAUAUUUUCCAAUUACAAUUUUGGUUAGUUGUAAAAAAUAAAAAAAAUUACAAAAAAAUUAAGUAUUUACAAAUUCACAUUGUGAAAAAUAAGUUUAACUCAUUUAUAACAUUGUUGUGGGGUAAAAGCAUAAUUGAGCAUAAUGUAUGUGCGUUAUGGUGUACUGAACAACAUAUUGGAAUAAAGGAUAUAUGGAGAGGAAAAGCCUCAUCAAUACAGGAUUCACGUGAGUUCAUUCUAAUACACCACCGUACCAGCUGUCUACCUGUGCACUACCAUACCAGCUGUCUACCUGUGCACUACUGUACCAGCUGUCUACCUGUGCACUACCGUACCAGCUGUCUACCUGUGCACUACUGUACCAGCUGUCUACCUGUACACUGCCGUACCAGCCGUCUCCAUUGAGUUAGAAUGUAAAGUACCAAAGAUAGAGCAGGAUCAUGUACAUCACGUCUUUACUGACGCGGAACCACAUGUAGAUAAAUGCUAGAAGGCUCCUCCUACUAUGAAAUGUCCGUCUGACGUGGUGCUUAGUGGUCCAUGCAGACUGUUGCGUUGACAAGGUAAAAGGCCUACACAGGGGGCUCUAUUCAAUCUGGGAAGCUGAAGAAGCGUUACAGAGUACGCGAUAGAAAUGUAAACGACACAUGCAUCGUUUACACUUGAGGUAAGUCUUCGCUUAAGCGGGAACAUUGCCUUUACAUUUAUAUAUAUAUAUAUAUAUAUAUAUAUAUAUAUAUUUUUUUUUUUUUAAUUUUUUUUUUAUGUAACCUUUAUUUAAACUAGGCAAGUCAGAUAAGAACAAAUUGUUUAAAUCACACUGUAAGGCUGAACUUCCACAAUGCGGAUUGAAUAGAGCCCCAAGAACACAUGAAAUGUCAUUCAAACAAACACAAAAAAUAUAUAACAAGCCUAAAAAUACAAGAACACGUUAAUAUUAGUGCAAAGGUCUUAUACAUAAAAAUAAAAUAAAAGAAUACACACGUUUAAACAAUAUUAUAUAGUAGCAACACUGUGCUUUGAGCCACAUGUACGUUUGAGUGUGGCGUGACCCUUAGGUAGCCAUAGUAACUAUCAGGUAGCCAUAGUAACCCUCACAGCUAGCCAUAGUUACCCUCCGGUAGCUGUGGGUUAAACCAACAUCUACUCUGAUUUCAAAGUACUCUCGUCUGAGUGUGUCAGAGCGCAGAAUAACGGAUUCAAACGCUCAACACCCGUUGAGUGUGUCCGGUGUCAGUAAACGUCGGGCAAAAAACAACAACGUAAUUCAAUUGCUGCUUGUCACCGACGCUCUAGAUAACAUGAAAACAGCCUAACUAGCUCUGCUAGGGUGAGUAAAAUGGUCAGAGUGAGAUGUUAUCUCAUUUGUGUCUGGAAGUAGCUAGUUAACCGUUAGCCUGUUAGCUUGGGUGUUUGACUGCUUUUUGUCUUCUCCAAUACUUGCUGGACGGUUGCUUCAGUUAGCUGGACAUGUUCAGUAUUUUAGCUCCUGAGUUGACGCUGUAUACUAUACACGCUUUGUGGCAGGCAGGGUCUUAGCUGGUACUGUGUAGAUCACUAUAUGGCAGGGUCUUAGCUGGUACUGUGUAGAUCACUAUAUGGCAGGGUCUUAGCUGGUACUGUGUAGAUCACUAUAUGGCAGGGUCUUAGCUGGUACUGUGUAGAUCACUAUAUGGCAGGGUCUUAGCUGGUACUGUGUAGAUCACUAUAUGGCAGGGUCUUAGCUGGUACUGUGUAGAUCACUAUAUGGCAGGGUCUUAGCUGGUACUGUGUAGAUCACUCUUUGGCAGGGUCUUAGCUGGUACUGUGUAGAUCACUAUAUGGCAGGGUCUUAGCUGGUACU
Molecule: long non-coding RNA, 1927 nt
Filed under: Oncorhynchus mykiss (rainbow trout)
Lineage: Eukaryota; Metazoa; Chordata; Actinopteri; Salmoniformes; Salmonidae
Description: lncRNA (ENSOMYG00000048035.1)
Source: RNAcentral